UAAUUGAAUAAUUUAACGAUUUCCCUUUCCUAUUUGAUAUUGAUUAGCUCACCAAUCCAUAUAUAAUGGAACUCUAGUCGCUUUUCUGAUUGAUAUAUAAAAUAAUAGAAUUAGGAAAUCUUCUAUUUACUAUUCACUGAAUAAUAACUUUUUUGUUGACAAAAGAAUAAAGAUCAUUUCUAUUCCAAGGUGGGGAGUUUUAUUUUCCCCAUCGACCUA
This 219-nucleotide small RNA is filed under the name Solanum anomalostemon. Its description in RNAcentral is "SprA". Lineage: Eukaryota; Viridiplantae; Streptophyta; Magnoliopsida; Solanales; Solanaceae. The record is from RNAcentral.